CUAAGGAUAAAGUUAUCAUCUUCAGUUUUGAGAGACUUAAGAAAGUUUUUCAUCUUUUAAGAUUCGGGCCUAUAGCUCAGCUGGUUAGAGCACACGCCUGAUAAGCGUGAGGUCGGUGGUUCAAGUCCAUUUAGGCCCACCAAAAUAGGUCACAUCUUAAAAAAGCUCUUUGAA
This 174-nucleotide unclassified non-coding RNA is filed under the name Candidatus Phytoplasma solani. RNAcentral describes it as "partial 16S-23S rRNA intergenic spacer". The stretch from base 66 to 139 matches the Rfam family "tRNA". The record is from RNAcentral. Lineage: Bacteria; Bacillati; Mycoplasmatota; Mollicutes; Acholeplasmatales; Acholeplasmataceae.